RNAcentral lists this ribosomal RNA (635 nucleotides) under uncultured Gammaproteobacteria bacterium. RNAcentral's name for it is "bacterial SSU rRNA". It matches the Rfam family "Bacterial small subunit ribosomal RNA", at positions 244 to 872 of the family's 1533-position model. Lineage: Bacteria; Pseudomonadati; Pseudomonadota; Gammaproteobacteria. The record is from RNAcentral.
GCUAGUUGGCGGGGUAAGAGCCCACCAAGGCGACGAUCCAUAGCUGGUCUGAGAGGACGACCAGCCACACUGGGACUGAGACACGGCCCAGACUCCUACGGGAGGCAGCAGUGGGGAAUAUUGGACAAUGGGCGGAAGCCUGAUCCAGCAAUGCCGCGUGUGUGAAGAAGGCCCGAGGGUUGUAAAGCACUUUCAAUGGGGAGGAAAAAGCUAAGGUUAACACCCUUAUAAUUGACAUUACCCAUACAAGAAGCACCGGCUAACUCCGUGCCAGCAGCCGCGGUAAUACGGAGGGUGCGAGCGUUAAUCGGAAUUACUGGGCGUAAAGCGUCCGUAGGCGGCGCGUUAAGCCAGGUGUGAAAGCCCCGGGCUCAACCUGGGAACUGCACUUGGGACUGGCGUGCUAGAGUUUGGGAGAGGGGAGCGGAAUUCCGGGUGUAGCGGUGAAAUGCGUAGAUAUCCGGAGGAACACCAGUGGCGAAGGCGGCUCCCUGGCCCAAAACUGACGCUGAGGCACGAAAGCGUGGGUAGCAAACAGGAUUAGAUACCCUGGUAGUCCACGCCGUAAACGAUGCCGACUAGCCGUUGGGCCCUUAUAGGGUUUAGUGGCGCAGCCAACGCAAUAAGUCGGCCGC